AAAAUUAUUCAGUUUAAUAGAUGUGAAGCAGUCACAAACACAUAUUCAGAUAAAGUUAAUGCAUGAAAAUGUCUGUUGUGUAUUAUUUAAUAGUUUACUUUUAGUAUAGCUUUGAUUUAUUUUAGUUGUUUUUAUUUUAGUUCCAGUUUUCCUUUUUUUGUUAGUUGAAUGAGUUAUUUACGAUAGGUUUUCUCAAAAGAUUAUGCUAUUAUUUUCUCUUUUUUUUAUUUAGACAUUCUAGUAUAUUUAAUGAGAAUAUACUAUUUUAUUUACUAGAUUUUUGACUUAAAUUGAAAAUUUUUUUUUUUACAGUUUAUGCUUUAAUCUUGAAACAAUUUGUAUUGAAGUUUAAUUUAGUUACAUUUUUGAAAACUGUUUGAAUUAACUAUGUGCAAUACACCUCAAAAAUGGUAUUUUAACUAGUCCUCUAAUGUUCAUAAUGGUAGUUUUUCAUGCUAUAAACGAGCUGAUGAUGUAUGCUACAAAAAGAGUGCUUGAUUUUCAUAAAAAACAAAAAUGUAAUAAAAUAGCUUCUUGAGGAUCCUAUAGAUGGUGAGACUGUUCAAAUCAUUUUUUAUUUAUUAUAUAUAGUAGUAUAAAAUAAGAAAAUAUUUUUUU
Hydra vulgaris (swiftwater hydra) is the source of this 618-nucleotide non-coding RNA. Lineage: Eukaryota; Metazoa; Cnidaria; Hydrozoa; Anthoathecata; Hydridae. The record is from RefSeq and is a predicted model, not a curated record.